GAUCCAAUAUCCCAUGAUUAAAUCAAAUAAAAUCCUUGACUAAUUUCUUGAUGUGUGUGACCCUUUGGGUUCUAUAUUUAGCUAGCAGUAGGUCUAAAUUUAUGUUGAUCUGAAUUGAUUAGAGUCCAUCUAACCGAAUUAAGUCAAACCGAUGCAUAUCCAAGUUGUCAAAUUAGAACCCUUUCUAAUUGACCCAUGAAUUAAACUCUUUAAUUCAU
Molecule: long non-coding RNA, 218 nt
Filed under: Elaeis guineensis (African oil palm)
Lineage: Eukaryota; Viridiplantae; Streptophyta; Magnoliopsida; Arecales; Arecaceae
Description: long non-coding RNA (EGUI_LNC067587)
Source: RNAcentral